RNAcentral lists this unclassified non-coding RNA (376 nucleotides) under uncultured bacterium. RNAcentral describes it as "contains 16S-23S intergenic spacer region". The record is from RNAcentral.
UCCGAGUUGACCCCGGCAGUCUCCUAUGAGUCCCCGGCAUUACCCGCUGGCAACAUAGGACGAGGGUUGCGCUCGUUGCGGGACUUAACCCAACAUCUCACGACACGAGCUGACGACAGCCAUGCACCACCUGUAUACCGACAAAAGGGGCUCUAUCUCUAGAGCUUUCCGGCAUAUGUCAAACCCAGGUAAGGUUCUUCGCGUUGCAUCGAAUUAAACCACAUGUUCCACCGCUUGUGCGGACCCCCGUCAAUUCCUUUGAGUUUUAAUCUUGCGACCGUACUUCCCAGGCGAAUCACUUAACGCGUUAGCUUCGACACUAAUCCCAUAAAAACAGAACUAACGUCUAGUGAUCAUCGUUUACAGCGUGGACUAC